This is a long non-coding RNA of Oncorhynchus keta (chum salmon), 2640 nucleotides long. RefSeq lists it as uncharacterized. The transcript is spliced from 2 exons. The record is from RefSeq and is a predicted model, not a curated record. NCBI's taxonomy places the organism in Eukaryota, Metazoa, Chordata, Actinopteri, Salmoniformes, Salmonidae.
GAGCAGAGUACAUUAGUGUAAAAUACAGAACAUUAUACUGUACUAUACAUUUCUUUAUUCUACUGUAUGUACUAUACUCUACUUUUCAUAACUAUAAUGUACUGUGAUGUCCAAAUUUAUGAAAAACAGAUGUCUGUGAUUGGACCAAAUCUGAAUCAAUUAUAGACGUCUAUGUUUGUGCCAAAUACAAAUCGGUCCGGACCGGAUGACUAUGGACGUUGAAACCGGACCAAAUCUGAACCAAACAUAGACAUCUAUGAUUGGUUAAAAAAAUGUAAAUCAAAAUUAGUGGACGUUACAAUCAAGGCCAAUCUGGACGCCACCAAGACAAAACGUUGGCGUCGGAUAAACAUGUGCUAGAGAGCACUAAAUCCAAAGAUAGUGAGAUAGAAAGUGCAGUCCCCAACAUGCAUCAGGUCAUAGGUGAUCCUCUCUCUGUUAUAUCAGCCCAUUAUCUGCUUCAAAAUGUCAUCCCAUCAUGUUUUUGCAAAAAGUUAGGCCUCAACCAAUUGAUGCCUAUGUCAACUGGUUAUACUCCCAGCAGGCUUUGUGGUGCCAAUGGGAAAAUAUGAGCUGUCAACCAACUGAUGCUUAUGUAAAUACAUUGCAGUCAAUGGGAAAAUAAAACAUUAACCAACUGACUCUUCUGUCAAUACAUUGCAUUCAAUGAGAAAAGAUGAGUGUCACAAUGUUGAUGCUUAUGUCAAUACAUCACAGUCAAUAGGAAAAAAUGUCUCUCAACCAAUUGAUGCUUAUGUUAAUCACAGGAGGCUGCUGAGGGGUGAAUGGCUCAUAGCAAUGUCCGGAACGAAGCAAAUGGAAUGGCAUCAAACACCUGGAAAUCAUGUGUUUGACACCAUUCCACUGAUUCUGCUCCAGCCAUUACCACAAUCCCGUCCUCCCCAAUUAAAUUGCCACAAACAUCCUGUGAUGUCAAUACAUUUCAUUCAAUGGGAAAAGAUGUGUGUCACAGGAUAGACGCUUAUGUCAAUACAUUUAGAGUAGUACUGAGCGAUUAGUGCUUUUUGAUUUCGGUUUGAUUAAUUAAAAAAGAAACAUUAAAUGCAUUAUGUGGGUUGAAUGCUGUAACACAGAAUAAAACAAUUAAUAAAAAUCCCAUGAUGGCAGUGACUGCCCAUUACCGCAUUGCCAUCAUUUAUUCACAUUACUUUACUUUAAAAUAUUUCAGUUGUUGUGCAAGUCAUCAUCUCAUUUCUAUAGACCUGCUGCCUAUGCUGUCUGACAAAAUCACUAUUUUAGUAGUUCUUCAAAGUAAAUAAUGUAUUCUUUUAUGACUGCUGAACACCAACUAUCAAUCACUUCAUGUAUUUUCAGGUAGAGAUGCCUCCCGAAGCAACUGCUCUCUAUCCCUCUCGAUCGUGCGUCUUCUGUCUCUUCUUUCCCUUUCCGGUGUGCCGCACACAGACCGGCGCCUAAUGGAUUAUGGUCAUUAUAGUUAAUUACCAUGUUUUCUGCACUAAACUAUGUAUAAAUUUGGCCUGUAGGAAAAUACAACUCCCUACUACAUCGCACAGUUCGGACUUGUUCUGAUUUAUCUCUGGAAAAAACUGAGCUGGUCACAGGGGGAAAAAUGAACAACAUGGAAUUAAAAUAAUUGAACCGAUGUCGGUCAAUUAGUUGCUUAAAAACUGAAAAAAUAACCUACAUUUUGGUUAAUCGCUCAGCAAUAAUUUGCAUUCAAUGGGAAAAUAAGAGUGUCACAAGGUUGACGCUUAUCUCAGUACAUUUCAUUAGAUGGGAAAAUAAGCAUCAACCUUGUGACACUUAUCUCAGUACAUUGCAUUCAAUGGGAAAAUAAGUGUCACAAGGUUGACGCUUUUCUCAGUACAUUUCAUUAGAUGGGAAAAUAAGAGUGUCACAAGGUUGACGCUUAUCUCAGUACAUUGCAUUCAAUGGGAAAAUAAGAGUGUCACAAGGUUGAUGCUUAUCUCAGUACAUUGCAUUCAAUGGGAAAAUAAGAGUGUCACAAGGUUGAUGCUUAUCUCAGUACAUUGCAUUCAAUGGGAAAAUAAGAGUGUCACAAGGUUGAUGCUUAUCUCAGUACAUUGCAUUCAAUGGGAAAAUAAGCGUCAACCUUGUGACACUUAUCUCAGUACAUUGCAUUCAAUGGGAAAAUAAGUGUCAAGGUUGAUGCUUUUCUCAGUACAUUGCAUUCAAUGGGAAAAUAAGAGUGUCACAAGGUUGACGCUUAUCUCAGUACAUUUCAUUAGAUGGGAAAAUAAGCAUCAACCUUGUGACACUUAUCUCAGUACAUUGCAUUCAAUGGGAAAAUAAGUGUCACAAGGUUGAUGCUUUUCUCAGUACAUUGCAUUCAAUGGGAAAAUAAGAGUGUCACAAGGUCGACGCUUAUCUCAGUACAUUGCAUCCUUAGUUCAUUCAGUUGUACAAAUCUCCAGGUGGUGGGAACGGGCCAUCUCCAGAUUGUCGGGAAUGUUGAUUUAUGCUGACUGGCCUUGACUUCGUGCUGAUAACGCGAGGGCUCAAGAGCUAGAGGGGCCCUCUGUUUGUGAAAUGGAACGUUUGGAAAACGCUGACGUCAUUUUCAGUUUAUAACCUGUGGAAAUGUGUGUAAGCAUUCAGUACUCUCUUGUAAUAAACGCUGUUACUUUUGGCUUUUAA